GACGAACGCUGGCGGCGUGCUUAACACAUGCAAGUCGAACGGAAAGGCCCUGCUUUUGUGGGGUGCUCGAGUGGCGAACGGGUGAGUAACACGUGAGUAACCUGCCCUUGACUUUGGGAUAACUUCAGGAAACUGGGGCUAAUACCGGAUAGGAGCUCCUGCUGCAUGGUGGGGGUUGGAAAGUUUCGGCGGUUGGGGAUGGACUCGCGGCUUAUCAGCUUGUUGGUGGGGUAGUGGCUUACCAAGGCGUUGACGGGUAGCCGGCCUGAGAGGGUGACCGGCCACAUUGGGACUGAGAUACGCCCCAGACUCCUACGGGAGACAGCGGUGGGGAAUAUUGCACAAUGGGCGGAAGCCUGAUGCCGCAACGCCGCGUGCGGGAUGACGGCCUUCGGGUUUUGAACCGCCUUCGCCUGUGACGAAGCGUGAGUGACGGUAAUGGGUAAAGAAGCACCGGCUAACUACGUG
This 468-nucleotide ribosomal RNA is filed under the name uncultured bacterium. RNAcentral describes it as "partial 16S ribosomal RNA". It matches the Rfam family "Bacterial small subunit ribosomal RNA", at positions 28 to 507 of the family's 1533-position model. The record is from RNAcentral.